This 468-nucleotide ribosomal RNA is filed under the name uncultured bacterium. RNAcentral's name for it is "partial 16S ribosomal RNA". It matches the Rfam family "Bacterial small subunit ribosomal RNA", at positions 28 to 508 of the family's 1533-position model. The record is from RNAcentral.
GACGAACGCUGGCGGCGUGCUUAACACAUGCAAGUCGAACGGAAAGGCCCUGCUUUUGUGGGGUGCUCGAGUGGCGAACGGGUGAGUAACACGUGAGUAACCUGCCCUUGACUUUGGGAUAACUUCAGGAAACUGGGGCUAAUACCGGAUAGGAGCUCCUGCUGCAUGGUGGGGGUUGGAAAGUUUCGGCGGUUGGGGAUGGACUCGCGGCUUAUCAGCUUGUUGGUGGGGUAGUGGCUUACCAAGGCUUUGACGGGUAGCCGGCCUGAGAGGGUGACCGGCAGCAUUGGGACGGAGAUAGGGCCAAGACGCCGGGGGGGGGAGGAGGGGGGAAAUUGGGAACAGGGGGGGGAGGCUUGAUGCAGCACCGCGGGGGGGGGGAGGGGGCCUUCGGGUUUGAAACCCGCUUGCGCCGGUGAGAAACGGGGGGGGAGGGAAGGGGAAAAAAAGGCACGGGUAAAUUAGGGC